GGGAGCGGGCGGGGCAGGGGCAGGGGCAGCUGACUGGGCGGGGAGCAGUGCAUGCGCUGCUCACCGCCCAUUGCUAUUGCGAGCUGCUAGGAUGAGGAUGGUUUCGCGGUUUCAGCCAAUUUCACUUUUAUUUUUAUAAAAGAUGGGUCUCAACGACACUUUCUCAUUCGACUAGAACUACCUCGUUUGUUCGAGGUAGGAGCUGGGACGUUGAUAGGCCGUCGGAAUGUGAAGUGCAUGUAGAUGAUACAACCCCUUAUCUGUUGACCGGGUCCAAGGAUAGCCCUUACCAACUGUCGGCAAUGAAUACUGAUGACUACGAGGUUUUUGAGAUCAGUCGAGGCUGUCUCGGGCGAAGAGGAAGAAGCCGGCCUGGGAUGGGCUGAAGAGGUCAAAAGCAUAGGAAAGUUUUGCUUUAACGAGGUUCUACAUUGACGUGUUCGAAUACCCUAUCCUUAACUACAACUAAAAGUUUUGGUGUU
Molecule: long non-coding RNA, 482 nt
Organism: Salvia splendens (bonfire salvia)
Lineage: Eukaryota; Viridiplantae; Streptophyta; Magnoliopsida; Lamiales; Lamiaceae
Exons: 2
Source: RefSeq, a predicted model, not a curated record